RNAcentral lists this ribosomal RNA (433 nucleotides) under uncultured bacterium. RNAcentral's name for it is "partial 16S ribosomal RNA". It matches the Rfam family "Bacterial small subunit ribosomal RNA", at positions 29 to 507 of the family's 1533-position model. The record is from RNAcentral.
AACGAACGCUGGCGGCAUGCCUAACACAUGCAAGUCGAACGAGACCUUCGGGUCUAGUGGCGCACGGGUGCGUAACGUGUGGGAACCUGCCCUUAGGUUCGGAAUAACUCCCCGAAAGGGGUGCUAAUAUCGGAUAAUGUCUUCGGACCAAAGAUUUAUCGCCUUUGGAUGGGCCCGCGUUGGAUUAGCUAGUUGGUAGGGUAAAAGCCUACCAAGGCGACGAUCCAUAGCUGGUCUGAGAGGAUGAUCAGCCACACUGGGACUGAGACACGGCCCAGACUCCUACGGGAGGCAGCAGUGGGGAAUAUUGGACAAUGGGCGAAAGCCUGAUCCAGCAAUGCCGCGUGAGUGAUGAAGGCCUUAGGGUUGUAAAGCUCUUUUACCCGGGAUGAUAAUGACAGUACCGGGAGAAUAAGCUCCGGCUAACUCCGUG